This 453-nucleotide ribosomal RNA is filed under the name uncultured organism. Its description in RNAcentral is "partial 16S ribosomal RNA". It matches the Rfam family "Bacterial small subunit ribosomal RNA", at positions 332 to 799 of the family's 1533-position model. The record is from RNAcentral.
UACACUCCUGCGGGAGGCAGCAGUGGGGAAUUUUACGCAAUGGGGGAAACCCUGACGUAGCGACACCGCGUGAGCGAAGAAGCCCUUUGGGGUGUAAAGCUCUGUCAGCUGGAACGAAAACAAUGACGGUACCAGCAGAGGAAGCAUCGGCUAACUACGUGCCAGCAGCCGCGGUAAGACGUAGGAUGCGAGCGUUGUCCGGAUUUAUUGGGCGUAAAGAGUUCGUAGGUGGUUUGUUAAGUUUGGUGUUAAAGAUCGGGGCUCAACCCUGGGACUGCACUGAAUACUGGCAGACUCGAGUGUGGUAGAGGCUAGUGGAAUUCCCAGUGUAGCGGUGAAAUGCGUAGAUAUUGGGAAGAACACCGGUGGCGUAGGCGACUAGCUGGGCCAUAACUGACGCUGAGGAACGAAAGCCAGGGGAGCGAAUGGGAUUAGAUACCCGUGUAGUCCCAU